UACGUAGGGUGCAAGCGUUAUCCGGAAUUAUUGGGCGUAAAGAGCUCGUAGGCGGUUUGUCGCGUCUGCCGUGAAAGUCCGGGGCUCAACUCCGGAUCUGCGGUGGGUACGGGGCAGACUAGAGUGCAGUAGGGGGAGACUGGAAUUCCUGGUGUAGCGGUGAAAUGCGCAGAUAUCAGGAGGAACACCGAUGGCGAAGGCAGGUCUCUGGGCUGUAACUGACGCUGAGGAGCGAAAGCAUGGGGGAGCGAACAGG
Molecule: ribosomal RNA, 256 nt
Filed under: uncultured bacterium
Lineage: Bacteria
Description: partial 16S ribosomal RNA
Rfam family: Bacterial small subunit ribosomal RNA
Source: RNAcentral